GUACUCGCUUCGGCGGUACAUAUACUAAAGUUGGAACGAUACAGAGAAGAUUAGCAUGGCCCCUGCGCAAAGAUGACAAUAAAAAAAAAAAAAAAAUGGAUAAGGCGU
Small nuclear RNA from Schistocerca gregaria, 108 nucleotides. Lineage: Eukaryota; Metazoa; Arthropoda; Insecta; Orthoptera; Acrididae. The record is from RefSeq and is a predicted model, not a curated record.